GCGCACAUUUACGCGCUGAAUUUAACAUUGGAGUCUAUGGGUUGCGCGCCGAAUGCAGUUUCAGCGCCUAAAGCACGAUGAAGCGUUGUCAGCUGAUUAUUCAUCGGCUGGUCGGCGCUGAAUUACUCGCGUAUUCGACGCUCACGAGUUGAAAUAUUCCAACUUUUCAGCGCGUCCUUGACGCGCAUACGCCGCGGCGUUUUUAUCAUCAAUCGGGUGUUUUGUUGAUAUUUAAAACAUUUGAAAAGCAUUUUUGAGAUGAGGUUAGUGUUGCUAAUAUUUUGAGUGUGGCAGUGUGUGUGUUCUGUGUUUCAUCAUCUUCCUACAUCUCCAGAAUAGCAUUAAAUGAGCUGGUAAGCUCUACAAGUGACACCACCUUAGUUGAAGCCGUGAGACGUCAUGACGUGCUUUGGCGUCCUCAGGACAGCAACUACUUUAACAGAAAUAAGAAGAAGCUAGCAUGGGAGGAGGUGGCAAAGACCACUGGGAGAUCAGUUCAGGAUGCAAAAUCGAAAUGGAAAAGUCUGCGUGACUACCACCUACGCAAACGCAGGCAAUUGCCAAGUGGCUCUGGCUGCCCGCCACCAGAGAACUCCUCCUGGCAAAAGGAAAUGUCAUUUUUGGAUGAUGCCAUCAAGCCUAAACCCUUUGUGUGUCUGAUGAGGACAGCAGCGAGACUCAACUACCAGACGACAGUGCUGCAGCGAGCUGUGCCUCAGGAGUCCUCCCAGCUGCGACGCUCCUCGGAACGCCUCGGGUGUCCGCGGUGCCACCAGCAGCGAGCUGUGUCGCCGGCCCGAGCCAUCCGCGCUCUUCUGGCACCAACGGCCAAGUCAAGCAGGUCAGGGGGCCGGGUGCUCGUGGCGCCGAGAAGCUUGACGCCGCCAUAGCGUCCAUAGAACGCGCGGUGAGCGACCUCCGUAACCCGGACCUACUAUUUGGUCAGCUGGUGGGGUUGGAGAUGGAGCGUGUGAGGGACGACAAGAAAGCGGAUGCGAGACUGGAGAUUCUUACAGUCUUGAAAAGGGCGCAGUCCGAUUAAAAGCAGGUGAUAACCUUCGCACGGGUGGGGGAGGGGGGACGUUUUUCACACAUAUUUGAUAAAAAAUGACCAGAAUGAUUCAAAACGAUCUUAUAGCCAGACAUGUGCAUGGAUCCGAGAGGUGGAUCUAUGAUCUGAGCGGAUCUCUCGAGCUUAUGGGUAAGAUCUAUGAUCUGAGUGGAUCUCUCGACACAGUUGAGGGGUUGGAUCUAUGAUCUGAGUGGAUCUCUCGACAAAGUUGAGGGGUUGGAUCUAUGAUCCGGGUGGAUCCCAGAUCUAGAUUCAUGGGAUCGAAUUUCAGAUCCAUUUUCCCGGAUCCAUGCACAUGUCUGCUUAUAGCGAGCUAUAUAAUGCCUGUUCGGCGUCUUUCCAGCUUCCUUUGAUUCUGAGAUAAUGUGAUGCGGCCAAAUGCGUCCCCUCUCCAUGCAACCUCCACCAUGGCGAACUUUGCUGAGCCUGAGUCAUAUUCUGCGUAGUGUGUAUUUCCGCUGUCUGAUCGCUAUAGCGACCCUUUUUCAAGUUUUGAUUUAGGAGUGAAUUCGUUUACCUGGUGUUUAAAUGUUUGAGCUCCUUUGCUGUGAAGUUGAAGUUGGACGUUACGUGGUUAUCUGACUUUGGUUGUUGGAAAGGGCGACAGUUAAUGUUAUUUAUUUCCACUACUUUCGCGUGCAAUAAACGACAAAGGCCG
This 1730-nucleotide unclassified non-coding RNA is filed under the name Amphibalanus amphitrite. RNAcentral's name for it is "transcription factor Adf-1-like, transcript variant X2". The record is from RNAcentral. Lineage: Eukaryota; Metazoa; Arthropoda; Thecostraca; Balanomorpha; Balanidae.